UAGUGAUAGCUGGUUGUUCAGGAAAAGAGUUUUAGCUCUGCCUUAAGUUUUUUUAUUUUAUCAAACAAGCUCAAAAACUUAAGAGUCAUUCAAAUUAGGCACAGCUUAUUUGAAACAGGAUACAACCUCAACCAUUGGGUAAACAAGGGCAAUAAAAAUAAAGUGGGCCCAAAAGCAGCCAUCUUCCAAAAAGCGUCAAAGCUUAAUUACUUAGGCCCAUAAUUUCCAAAACACUCUACAACCCCUCACCAAUACUGAACUAUUUUAUAUCUAUAUAAAAAUAAUUAUGCUAGAACUAGUAACAAGAAGCUGCCCUUCUCCUUAAUGUAAAUAUACACCAAAACGGACACUCCAUUGGUAGUUAACGUAGAUGUAAAACCAUAACAACACAUAACCAGAAAACCUUAUGGCACCCAACGUUACCCUUACACCAGAACAUUACAGGAAAGAUUAAAAGAAAGAGAAGGAACUCGGCAAAUUUUAACCCCGCCUGUUUACCAAAAACAUCGCCUCUUGAUUAAACAUAAGAGGUCCAGCCUGCCCAGUGAUAAUAUUAAACGGCCGCGGUAUACUAACCGUGCGAAGGUAGCAUAAUCACUUGUUCUUUAAAUGGGGACUUGUAUCAACGGCAUCACGAGGGUUAUACUGUCUCCUCUCUCCAAUCAGUGAAACUGAUCCCCCCGUGAAGAAGCGGGGAUUUUACUAUAAGACGAGAAGACCCCAUGGAGCUUUAAACUCGACAUACACUAAGGUAUUAAACCAAUUUAACCAAAAACCUGUACGUCAGUUUUAGGCUGGGGGGGCCACGGAGUAAAACUAAACCUCCACAACAAAUGGGCUAACACCCUAAUCUAAGAUUUAUAAAUCUAAGAAUCACCAAAAUGAUGUUUAAUGACCCGAUAAUUCGAUCAAUGAACCAAGUUACCCUGGGGAUAACAGCGCAAUCUACUUCAAGAGCCCUUAUCGACAAGUGGGUUUACGACCUCGAUGUUGGAUCAGGGUAUCCUAGUGGUGCAACCGCUACUAACGGUUCGCUUGUUCAGCGAUUAAAACCCU
Molecule: ribosomal RNA, 1056 nt
Filed under: Odorrana huanggangensis
Lineage: Eukaryota; Metazoa; Chordata; Amphibia; Anura; Ranidae
Description: partial 16S ribosomal RNA
Rfam family: Bacterial large subunit ribosomal RNA
Source: RNAcentral